GUGCUCGCUUCAGCAGCACAUAUACUAAAAUUGGAGUGAUACAGAGAAGAUUAGCACAGCCCCUGUGCAAGGGCGACACACAAAUUUGUGAAGCAUUCCACAUUUAA
This 107-nucleotide small nuclear RNA is filed under the name Chinchilla lanigera (long-tailed chinchilla). The record is from RNAcentral. Lineage: Eukaryota; Metazoa; Chordata; Mammalia; Rodentia; Chinchillidae.